GGGAGGAUUAAAAUAAUCUUAUUAGAGUAAGUAGUCCCGAAAGAAAAAGAGCUAACAUAAAUAAAUAGUUUUCGUAUUAAUGAAAUUAUUAAAUUUAUGUUAGUAGUGAAAUGCUAGACGAUUUUUCAUAUCUGGUUGAAGGAGAAUUAAAUUAAAUUUAGUUAUUUUGAGGUUAAAAAAGCUUUAAAAUAAUAAAGAGUAGGAGGGAAGAGCUUCUUAUUCUAAUAAUAAGUAAACUAUAAUAAAAGUAAUUUAAGUAUUACUGAAUUAGGCUU
This 275-nucleotide ribosomal RNA is filed under the name Penaeus vannamei (Pacific white shrimp). RNAcentral's name for it is "partial large subunit ribosomal RNA". Lineage: Eukaryota; Metazoa; Arthropoda; Malacostraca; Decapoda; Penaeidae. The record is from RNAcentral.